CCUACGGGCGGCAGCAGUGAGGAAUAUUGGUCAAUGGGCGCGAGCCUGAACCAGCCAAGUAGCGUGAAGGAUGACUGCCCUACGGGUUGUAAACUUCUUUUAUAAAGGAAUAAAGUGAGGCACGUGUGCCUUUUUGUAUGUACUUUAUGAAUAAGGAUCGGCUAACUCCGUGCCAUCAGCCGCGGUAAUACGGAGGAUCCGAGCGUUAUCCGGAUUUAUUGGGUUUAAAGGGAGCGUAGAUGGGUUGUUAAGUCAGUUGUGAAAGUUUGCGGCUCAACCGUAAAAUGGCAAUUGAUACUGGCAGUCUUGAGUACAGUUGAGGUAGGCGGAAUUCGUGGUGUAGCGGUGAAAUGCUUAGAUAUCACGAAGAACUCCGAUUGCGAAGGCAGCUUACUAAACUGCCACUGACAUUGAUGCUCGAAAGUGUGGGUAUCAAACAGGAUUAGAUACCCUGGUAGUC
Molecule: ribosomal RNA, 460 nt
Filed under: uncultured bacterium
Lineage: Bacteria
Description: partial 16S ribosomal RNA
Rfam family: Bacterial small subunit ribosomal RNA
Source: RNAcentral